Molecule: ribosomal RNA, 253 nt
Filed under: uncultured bacterium
Lineage: Bacteria
Description: partial 16S ribosomal RNA
Rfam family: Bacterial small subunit ribosomal RNA
Source: RNAcentral
UACGAAGGGUGCGAGCGUUGUCCGGAAUUAUUGGGCGUAAAGAGCUUGUAGGCGGUUUGUCGCGUCUGCCGUGAAAAUUCGAGGCUCAACCUCGAACUUGCGGUGGGUACGGGCAGACUAGAGUGUGGUAGGGGAGACUGGAAUUCCUGGUGUAGCGGUGAAAUGCGCAGAUAUCAGGAGGAACACCGAUGGCGAAGGCAGGUCUCUGGGCCACUACUGACGCUGAGAAGCGAAAGCAUGGGGAGCGAACAGG